Molecule: ribosomal RNA, 253 nt
Filed under: uncultured bacterium
Lineage: Bacteria
Description: partial 16S ribosomal RNA
Rfam family: Bacterial small subunit ribosomal RNA
Source: RNAcentral
UACGUAGGGCGCAAGCGUUGUCCGGAAUUAUUGGGCGUAAAGAGCUCGUAGGCGGCUUGUCGCGUCGGUUGUGAAAGCCCGGGGCUUAACCCCGGGUCUGCAGUCGAUACGGGCAGGCUAGAGUUCGGUAGGGGAGAUCGGAAUUCCUGGUGUAGCGGUGAAAUGCGCAGAUAUCAGGAGGAACACCGGUGGCGAAGGCGGUUCUCUGGGCAUGACCUGACGCUGAGGAGCGAAAGUGUGGGGAGCGAACAGG